Molecule: ribosomal RNA, 750 nt
Filed under: uncultured bacterium
Lineage: Bacteria
Description: bacterial SSU rRNA
Rfam family: Bacterial small subunit ribosomal RNA
Source: RNAcentral
CAGGCCUAACACAUGCAAGUCGAACGGAAAGGCCCUGCUUUUGUGGGGUGCUCGAGUGGCGAACGGGUGAGUAACACGCGAGUAACCUGCCCUUGACUUUGGGAUAACUUCAGGAAACUGGGGCUAAUACCGGAUAGGAGCUCCUGUUGCAUGGUGGGGGUUGGAAAGUUUCGGCGGUUGGGGAUGGACUCGCGGCUUAUCAGCUUGUUGGUGGGGUAGUGGCUUACCAAGGCUUUGACGGGUAGCCGGCCUGAGAGGGAGACCGGCCACAUUGGGACUGAGAUACGGCCCAGACUCCUACGGGAGGCAGCAGUGGGGAAUAUUGCACAAUGGGCGGAAGCCUGAUGCAGCAACGCCGCGUGCGGGAUGACGGCCUUCGGGUUGUAAACCGCUUUCGCCUGUGACGAAGCGUGAGUGACGGUAAUGGGUAAAGAAGCACCGGCUAACUACGUGCCAGCAGCCGCGGUGAUACGUAGGGUGCGAGCGUUGUCCGGAUUUAUUGGGCGUAAAGGGCUCGUAGGUGGUUGAUCGCGUCGGAAGUGUAAUCUCGGGGCUUAACCCUGAGCGUGCUUUCGAUACGGGUUGACUUGAGGAAGGUAGGGGAGAAUGGAAUUCCUGGUGGAGCGGUGGAAUGCGCAGAUAUCAGGAGGAACACCAGUGGCGAAGGCGGUUCUCUGGGCCUUUCCUGACGCUGAGGAGCGAAAGCGUGGGGAGCGAGCAGGCUUAGAUACCCUGGUAGUCCACGCUGUA